AACGCACAUUGCGCCCCUUGGUAUUCCAUUGGGCAUGCCUGUUCGAGCGUCAUUUACACCCUCAAGCUCUGCUUGGUGUUGGGCGUCUGUCUAUGCUUUUCGCUUAGACUCGCCUUAAUUGCAUUGGCAGCGGCAUCGUCGGCUUCUCGCGCAGCACUUUGCGCUCAGGAAGGCAUCUGACGGGCUCGCAUCCACUAAGAAUCACUUAGUUUGACCUCGAAUCAGGUAGGGAUACCCGCUGAACUUAA
This 248-nucleotide unclassified non-coding RNA is filed under the name uncultured Pleosporales. Its description in RNAcentral is "sequence contains ITS2". The record is from RNAcentral. Lineage: Eukaryota; Fungi; Ascomycota; Dothideomycetes; Pleosporales.